AAGGAAAUAGCUCAGAUGGUAGAGCACAGGACUUGCACACCUGAGAGUCCAGGUUUGGUUCUCUUU
RNAcentral lists this transfer RNA (66 nucleotides) under Erinaceus europaeus (western European hedgehog). It matches the Rfam family "tRNA". Rfam says of the family: Transfer RNA (tRNA) molecules are approximately 80 nucleotides in length. Their secondary structure includes four short double-helical elements and three loops (D, anti-codon, and T loops). The record is from Rfam by way of RNAcentral. Lineage: Eukaryota; Metazoa; Chordata; Mammalia; Eulipotyphla; Erinaceidae.